GACGAACGCUGGCGGCGUGCUUAACACAUGCAAGUCGAACGGAAAGGCCCUGCUUUUGUGGGGUGCUCGAGUGGCGAACGGGUGAGUAACACGUGAGUAACCUGCCCUUGACUUUGGGAUAACUUCAGGAAACUGGGGCUAAUACCGGAUAGGAGCUCCUGCUGCAUGGUGGGGGUUGGAAAGUUUCGGCGGUUGGGGAUGGACUCGCGGCUUAUCAGCUUGUUGGUGGGGUAGUGGCUUACCAAGGCUGUGACGGGUAGCCGGCCUGAGAGGGUGACCGGCGACAUUGGGACUGAGAGACGGCCCAGACUCCUACGGGAGGCAGCAGUGGGGAAUAUUGCACAAUGGGCGGAAGCCUGAGGCAGCAACGCCGCGUGCGGGAUGACGGCCUUCGGGUUGUAAACCGCUGUCGCCUGUGACGAAGCGUGAGUGACGGUAAUGGGUAAAGAAGCACCGGCUAACUACGUG
This 468-nucleotide ribosomal RNA is filed under the name uncultured bacterium. Its description in RNAcentral is "partial 16S ribosomal RNA". It matches the Rfam family "Bacterial small subunit ribosomal RNA", at positions 28 to 507 of the family's 1533-position model. The record is from RNAcentral.